RNAcentral lists this ribosomal RNA (377 nucleotides) under uncultured bacterium. RNAcentral's name for it is "bacterial SSU rRNA". It matches the Rfam family "Bacterial small subunit ribosomal RNA", at positions 29 to 407 of the family's 1533-position model. The record is from RNAcentral.
AUUAAACGCUGGCGGCAUGCCUUACACAUGCAAGUCGAACGGCAGCACGGGGGCGAACCCUGGUGGCGAGUGGCGGACGGGUGAGUAAAGCAUCGGAACGUAUCCUGGAGUGGGGGAUAACGUAGCGAAAGUUACGCUAAUACCGCAUAUUCUGUGAGCAGGAAAGCAGGGGAUCGCAAGACCUUGCGCUCUGGGAGCGGCCGAUGUCGGAUUAGCUAGUUGGUGGGGUAAAGGCCUACCAAGGCGACGAUCCGUAGCGGGUCUGAGAGGAUGAUCCGCCACACUGGAACUGAGACACGGUCCAGACUCCUACGGAGGCAGCAGUGGGGAAUAUUGGACGAAUGGGCGAAGCCUGAUCCAGCCAUGCCGCGUGUGUG